UACGUAGGGUGCGAGCGUUGUCCGGAAUUAUUGGGCGUAAAGAGCUCGUAGGCGGUCUGUCGCGUCUGCUGUGAAAACUCAGGGCUUAACCCUGAGCUUGCAGUGGGUACGGGCAGACUAGAGGUAUGCAGGGGAGAACGGAAUUCCUGGUGUAGCGGUGAAAUGCGCAGAUAUCAGGAGGAACACCGGUGGCGAAGGCGGUUCUCUGGGCAUGAUCUGACGCUGAGGAGCGAAAGUGUGGGGAGCGAACAGG
This 253-nucleotide ribosomal RNA is filed under the name uncultured bacterium. Its description in RNAcentral is "partial 16S ribosomal RNA". It matches the Rfam family "Bacterial small subunit ribosomal RNA", at positions 524 to 776 of the family's 1533-position model. The record is from RNAcentral.